CUACGGGGGGCUGCAGUGGGGAAUAUUGGGCAAUGGGCGCAAGCCUGACCCAGCAACGCCGCGUGAGGGAAGAAGGUUUUCGGAUUGUAAACCUCUGUCCUUGGGGACGAAGAAGUGACGGUACCCAAGGAGGAAGCUCCGGCUAACUACGUGCCAGCAGCCGCGGUAAUACGUAGGGAGCAAGCGUUGUCCGGAAUUACUGGGCGUAAAGGGUGCGUAGGCGGCAUAUUAAGUCAGGUGUGAAAUACUCGGGCUCAACCCGGGGGCUGCAUUUGAAACUGAUAUGCUUGAGUGUGAGAGAGGAAAGUGGAAUUCCUAGUGUAGCGGUGGAAUGCGUAGAUAUUAGGAGGAACACCAGUGGCGAAGGCGACUUUCUGGCUCAUAACUGACGCUGAGGCACGAAAGCGUGGGGAGCAAACAGGAUUAGAUACCCCCGUAGUC
RNAcentral lists this ribosomal RNA (441 nucleotides) under uncultured bacterium. Its description in RNAcentral is "partial 16S ribosomal RNA". It matches the Rfam family "Bacterial small subunit ribosomal RNA", at positions 339 to 795 of the family's 1533-position model. The record is from RNAcentral.